RNAcentral lists this ribosomal RNA (157 nucleotides) under Trichophyton benhamiae. Its description in RNAcentral is "5.8S ribosomal RNA". It matches the Rfam family "5.8S ribosomal RNA". From Rfam's summary of the family: 5.8S ribosomal RNA (5.8S rRNA) is a component of the large subunit of the eukaryotic ribosome. It is transcribed by RNA polymerase I as part of the 45S precursor that also contains 18S and 28S rRNA. The record is from RNAcentral. RNAcentral also lists the same sequence under 1 other name. Lineage: Eukaryota; Fungi; Ascomycota; Eurotiomycetes; Onygenales; Arthrodermataceae.
AACUUUCAACAACGGAUCUCUUGGUUCCGGCAUCGAUGAAGAACGCAGCGAAAUGCGAUAAGUAAUGUGAAUUGCAGAAUUCCGUGAAUCAUCGAAUCUUUGAACGCACAUUGCGCCCUCUGGUAUUCCGGGGGGCAUGCCUGUUCGAGCGUCAUUU